Molecule: long non-coding RNA, 1811 nt
Filed under: Oreochromis niloticus (Nile tilapia)
Lineage: Eukaryota; Metazoa; Chordata; Actinopteri; Cichliformes; Cichlidae
Description: lncRNA (ENSONIG00000038954.1)
Source: RNAcentral
ACCAAAUCCCCUGUACACAUAUAGUGACUCAGAGGAUGAGUAGCCCACAAAAAAACGGUUUCCCCAGGCACCUCGAGUGAAAAUACCAGCCCUCACCACUCCGCAGUCUUCCCCCCAGCCCACUGACAGCAGGCAUCAUAAUGCCCCUCCCAGCUUCCGGCACCUUUUGCCACUCCGGCAGAACACUCCAAACGACACAGCUUUGCGAUCUCCCCAGCAUGCAGAGUCUGAUGUCGAGGCCUUCCCUAUAGAUGGUAUGCUUUUAAAAUUGUUUUAAAGCUGAAUCAUAGUGUCAUUGUGCACUUAUCUUCAAAACACCAGUUUAUACUCCUGAAUGUCAUCUUGUUGUGAUUUGUUUUUCUGUAGAUUCCAGAGACUCUGUGAAGCCACUAUUACAAGGCAAGUUCGAACAUCUUGGAAUUUCAGAUUUUACAUGGUAUAAAUGGUAAAUGACCUAUAUUUGUACAGCGCUUUAACUAGUCCCUAAGGACCCCAAAGCGCUUUACACAUUCAGUCAUCCACCCGUUCACACACACAUCGAUGGCAAGCUACAUAUACAAAUAUCAUAUAUAUGACAGGCAAAAACUAGCACUUUUAGCAGUUAAAACAACUUAUACUUGAAUGCAGAGUGUUACACCAUCACUUAUGGAUAUAUUAGUUUUUCGCCUCUCACUGCUUAAGCCAUUAAUCUUUCUGGAAUUGUUCUUUGAAACAGAUGCAACCUCACAAAAGAUGUUAACGAUGCUGUCAGACCUGACCAGAGCAGUUAACGAACUCCGUGAGGAGGUCAGAGCCAUCCGCAACACCGGCUCCAAUGAAUCGGUAGAUGCUGGGGUACACCCUUUGGAUUUGCCCUUGCACAACAUUGAGGAGCUAAACAAUGCAGAGGCAGCUCUUCAAUCGCAAGAGGCAAAUAAGGCAAUGGUGAGACGCUUUGCCUUGAUUGGAGGGACCACACUGGAGGUGCGAGUCCACCGUGUAAUGGCUUAUGCCAUCAGAAACGAGCUGGCCUCAGUACUAAACUGGGCAGGGAAAAAAACAAAGGACCAGACGAAGCAAAAAAGGGCAUUUAAAGAUACAGCGCUGUGCAGAUGCAUAUUUGGUAAGUUUUACCGUUUAUUGUAGUUUUAUGAGCCUAAAGUGAACAAUAAAGGGAUCGAUUGAUCUGCUGGGUGUGUUUCACAUGUCCUACGUCCAGUUUUUGCUAUAUUACUUUGUAUUUUUUAAUAACAAGACUUUCAUGUCUGGUUGAUCUGGAGAUGGAGUCUUUGGUCUUUGGCUUGUUUAGUCCUCGGGUUGUAGUUUGUACAGCCCAAGGACCCCAUGUUUAUUUUGUUUUAAAGGAUGCACGGCACACCAUGCUAAGACUUAUCAUUUUUUCCACUCAUAGCUCUUUGGGAAUCAAAUGCGGCAGUUUGCAUAUUUACGCCUGGUGACUUUCAUGUUUAUCAGCCUAGGAGUUUAUAUACUUUCUCCCUGCUGAAGACAGAUAACAAGAGCUUAUUCAUGUGCUCUAAUUCACUUUUUUUGUUUGUGUGUGUGUGUGUGUGUGUGUGUAUUUUUGUCCUAGAUGGCCUGACGCAGCAGUUAGGGGCAAACUCUAUGUCAGAGUUUGUCUUUGUACAGGCAGUGCAGAAAUGGCUCCAAUACACCCCAGAUCGUUUGGGUGGCGCAGGACGCACAUCAUCCGUCCCCAUCCCGGAGUAAAAACUACAAAGUUAUGUUAAAAUAUAAAUGUAAAUAGAAAACUGUGUUUUAAUAAAGUAUUUAGCAAACGAAACAUGUCUAUUGACCUUUUUUUGUUUAGUUUU